UCCAAGAAGUCUGCGUUUGAGUCCUGCCUCCUCCACGCAUCCUUGACAGGGUGGCGUUGUCUGGCAACAUUAUAAUAUUUGAAUUGCCCUCACCCAUCACGACAUUAUAAUAUUUGAAUUGCCCUGCAGAGUGUCAAGCUGGCCCUAGAGGAGUGGAGGCACUGACUAGAGGGGACCGAGCAUCCGUUUUUGGUCUGCACUGACCACAGGAACCUGGAGUACAUCAGAUCAGCUAAGAGACUACUCCAAACAAACCAGUUGAGGCAGUAACAUGGGCAGUCGAGGAAGAGGUCAAGGGUGCUCUCAAGAGGAGCAAGGCCUCUCAUCGCCCGCCCAGCUUACUCCAGCCUUUUCCCACCCCUCGGCGGCCAUGGUCCCAUAUCUCCAUUGAUUUUGUCACUGGUCUCCCAGCCUC
Non-coding RNA from Gasterosteus aculeatus aculeatus (three-spined stickleback), 415 nucleotides. The record is from RefSeq and is a predicted model, not a curated record. Lineage: Eukaryota; Metazoa; Chordata; Actinopteri; Perciformes; Gasterosteidae.